GGUAUGACAAUUUUCCUUUAUCCUUAGUAGAACCAGAUCCAAUUUUGUUGUUGUGUUAUUGCGUGUGCACCAUUGAUAAACCUUCCAUUGCAUAUCCAGAAUAUUACUUUACAUCAUUGAGUCUCUCCGAGGAAUUAGCAGAUAGGAGGUUUAGAUGAACAUUGCACAGCAUGUGAAAAACUUGGAUGAAAAAGCCAACACCUACUCAGAGUGCAGCCAAAAGCCAACACCUAUUCAGAGUGCAGCUUACCAGUUGCGUUAAAAGGUCCUGGGUCACAUGAAAAGCAUAGGUGGAUUGGUAAAUACUCUUUGGAAUGGGCUGCGUUUGGAGGACAUCCUUCAUUCCCUUCACGUUAUGUAUGCAAUCAUAUCCAAUACAGGUAAGGCUAUGUGUUAGGUCGGUUGAUUUCGGAUGCAAAA
RNAcentral lists this long non-coding RNA (420 nucleotides) under Penaeus japonicus. Its description in RNAcentral is "uncharacterized LOC122256003". The record is from RNAcentral. Lineage: Eukaryota; Metazoa; Arthropoda; Malacostraca; Decapoda; Penaeidae.